This 48-nucleotide non-coding RNA is filed under the name Trichobilharzia regenti. Lineage: Eukaryota; Metazoa; Platyhelminthes; Trematoda; Strigeidida; Schistosomatidae. The record is from RNAcentral.
CUGCCGAUGAGGAGUCCCAAGUAAUAGGACGAAACACUUGUCCAGUAC